RNAcentral lists this ribosomal RNA (1104 nucleotides) under Gyalolechia fulgens. Its description in RNAcentral is "eukaryotic LSU rRNA". It matches the Rfam family "Eukaryotic large subunit ribosomal RNA", at positions 1 to 968 of the family's 3401-position model. The record is from RNAcentral. Lineage: Eukaryota; Fungi; Ascomycota; Lecanoromycetes; Teloschistales; Teloschistaceae.
AAUUGACCUCGGAUCAGGUAGGGAUACCCGCUGAACUUAAGCAUAUCAAUAAGCGGAGGAAAAGAAACCAACCGGGAUUGCCUCAGUAACGGCGAGUGAAGCGGCAACAGCUCAAAUUUGAAAUCUGACCCCGUCGGGGUUCGAGUUGUAAUUUGUAGAGGAUGUUUCGGGCGCGAAGCCGGUCUAAGUCCCUUGGAACGGGGCGUCGUAGAGGGUGAGAAUCCCGUAUGUGACCGGCGAUCAAGCCUCUGUGAAACUCCUUCGACGAGUCGAGUUGUUUGGGAAUGCAGCUCAAAAUGGGUGGUAAAUUUCAUCUAAAGCUAAAUAUUGGCCAGAGACCGAUAGCGCACAAGUAGAGUGAUCGAAAGAUGAAAAGCACUUUGGAAAGAGAGUCAAAAAGUACGUGAAAUUGUUGAAAGGGAAGCGCUUGCAACCAGACCUGCCCGCGGGCGAUCAGCCGUCCCUUCCGGGGGCGGUGCACGCGCCCGCGAUCAGGCCAGCAUCGGUUCGGGCGGCCGGAUAAAGGCCCGGGGAACGUAGCUCCUCUCGGGGAGUGUUAUAGCCCCGGGUGCAAUGCGACCCGCCUGGACCGAGGACCGCGCUUCGGCUAGGAUGCUGGCGUAAUGGUUGUAAGCGGCCCGUCUUGAAACACGGACCAAGGAGUCUAACAUCCAUGCGAGUGUUUGGGUGUCAAACCCGUGCGCGUAAUGAAAGUGAACGGAGGUAGGAACCCAUAAGGGCGCACUAUCGACCGAUCCUGAUGUCUUCGGAUGGAUUUGAGUACGAGCAUGGCUGUUGGGACCCGAAAGAUGGUGAACUAUGCCUGAAUAGGGUGAAGCCAGAGGAAACUCUGGUGGAGGCUCGCAGCGGUUCUGACGUGCAAAUCGAUCGUCAAAUUUGGGUAUAGGGGCGAAAGUAAGUUACGAAUCUUCCAUUCUUCAGCCUGGCUGCCCGGAAGGAGUGGGGUUAGUGACGGACGAAGGGGUUGAAGCUCUUUUUCGGGUGGCUGGCCGGCUGGCUAUUGAUCUUUGGCUUCUAGAUAUCAAGUGCUAAACNUAAUAAUCGACUAAUCGAACCAUCUAGUAGCUGGUUCCAGCCGAAGUU